UACGUAGGGCGCAAGCGUUGUCCGGAAUUAUUGGGCGUAAAGAGCUCGUAGGCGGUUUGUCGCGUCUGCUGUGAAAACCUAAGGCUCAACCUUGGGCUUGCAGUGGGUACGGGCAGACUAGAGUGCGGUAGGGGUGACUGGAAUUCCUGGUGUAGCGGUGAAAUGCGCAGAUAUCAGGAGGAACACCGGUGGCGAAGGCGGCAUCCUGGACCGGUAUUGACGCUGAGGAGCGAAAGCCAGGGGAGCAAACGGG
This 253-nucleotide ribosomal RNA is filed under the name uncultured bacterium. Its description in RNAcentral is "partial 16S ribosomal RNA". It matches the Rfam family "Bacterial small subunit ribosomal RNA", at positions 524 to 776 of the family's 1533-position model. The record is from RNAcentral.